Molecule: ribosomal RNA, 253 nt
Filed under: uncultured bacterium
Lineage: Bacteria
Description: partial 16S ribosomal RNA
Rfam family: Bacterial small subunit ribosomal RNA
Source: RNAcentral
UACGUAGGGUGCAAGCGUUAAUCGGAAUUACUGGGCGUAAAGCGCGCGCAGGCGGUCCUUCAAGUCAGAGGUGAAAGCCCAGAGCUCAACUCUGGAACGGCCUUUGAAACUAGAGGACUAGGGUACGGGAGAGGUGAGUGGAAUUCCGAGUGUAGAGGUGAAAUUCGUAGAUAUUCGGAAGAACACCAGUGGCGAAGGCGGCUCACUGGCCCGUUACCGACGCUCAGGCGCGACAGCGUGGGGAGCAAACAGG